Talpa occidentalis (Iberian mole) is the source of this 1164-nucleotide long non-coding RNA. RefSeq lists it as uncharacterized. The transcript has 7 exons. NCBI's taxonomy places the organism in Eukaryota, Metazoa, Chordata, Mammalia, Eulipotyphla, Talpidae. The record is from RefSeq and is a predicted model, not a curated record.
CCUCAGCCAGAGCAGCAGCUGACAUCCUGCUUUGUAAAGAGAGUGACUGAUUCAGGAAGCCAGUGGAAUGUCUUCCUUUGCAGGAUUUGGUGUGUCUACUGAAACUACUUGGUCUCCACACUGCCCGUCCAGAAGAAAAGCAGCUGCAUGAGCAUCAGCAAGAAAUAACCCAGAACAAAACCUGACUUCCUCAUCCAUUUGCUUGUGUAAUUAUAUGGUCAACAAGGGAAAAUCUUCUUUAUCCCAAAAAGAAUCUCUUAUCACCUCCUGUGUGAUCACUAUUCUAGAUGUUCAAGACUUUAAGGUUGUGCUUCUUACUCUUCCCAGGAGUUUUUAACUGACUCUCAAGCAAAGCACCAGCAGGAAGUGUCUGAAGGAAGUCUGACCUGCUGGGGUUGUUUCUCAAUAUCCUGCUUGUCUAUCUCAUGAGGUGGAAAGGAGCAUUCCGCUUGCUCCAGCUGCCGUGUCCCCAGAGCGUCCAGAACACACCCGACUGCAAAGGGGAGAAUGAGGCCGUGCACUGCCUGCACUUGAGCACAGCAUCUCCUUGGAACUUGCAUGACAAGAUUGUUGAAACAAUCUCCUGGCACAGCCUGGUACAGGGCUACCAGUUCACAGCUUGAGAAGAGGCACAUGCCAGACACAUGCUGGGAAAUUCUACCAGGAGGCUGCAGACACGCUACAGGUUUUGUGCAUCUUCUCUGAGAACCCGAAGUCCAUCACUGACUACUCUCUACUGCAUGGCAGAUCUAGGGGCAGCAUCUUCUCAUCCGCAGCUGUAGUGUUAGAAGUAUUUGUGCUGCUGUCACCUGAGUCUACAGUCAUCUGUUGAUGGAAUGGACCAACGCUGAGAAACAGCUUCUAGGAGAGCCAUCAGAGAGAUGGGUGAGCAAGUGUGACUGCUAGACUUAGAAUUACAUAUGUGGCUGGGCCUUCCCGGUGAUGCAGCGGGUUGAGCGCCCUGCUAUGAAGCUGUCUGCAGCCUCCGCUGUGCAGGUUCGAUUCCCGACUUGCCAGGGAGAAACCCACAUGCAAAGCAGACCUCUCCUGUCUCGCCCACUGCUCCCUUCAGCAGAGUUUUCAGUCUGUCUGCCUGUUCUGCUCCCCGCACUGUCUCUGGUGAAAUUUCUCACUCUCCCGCAUCUCUGACCUGUACCCCAGUUC